This 74-nucleotide transfer RNA is filed under the name Apaloderma vittatum (bar-tailed trogon). It matches the Rfam family "tRNA". Rfam says of the family: Transfer RNA (tRNA) molecules are approximately 80 nucleotides in length. Lineage: Eukaryota; Metazoa; Chordata; Aves; Trogoniformes; Trogonidae. The record is from Rfam by way of RNAcentral.
GGCCAGUUAGCUCAUUUGGUUGGAGCGUGGUGCUGCUAACACGGAGGUCACCGGUUCGAUUCCCAUUCUGUCCC